UACGUAGGGUGCAAGCGUUGUCCGGAAUUAUUGGGCGUAAAGAGCUCGUAGGCGGUUUGUUGCGUCGGCUGUGAAAUCCCGAGGCUCAACCUCGGGUCUGCAGUCGAUACGAGCAAACUAGAGUGUUGCAGGGGAGACUGGAAAUCCUGGCGUAGCGGUGAAAUGCGCAGAUAUCAGGAGGAACACCGGUGGCGAAGGCGGGUCUCUGGGCAACAACUGACGCUGAGGAGCGAAAGCGUGGGGAGCGAACAGG
Molecule: ribosomal RNA, 253 nt
Filed under: uncultured bacterium
Lineage: Bacteria
Description: partial 16S ribosomal RNA
Rfam family: Bacterial small subunit ribosomal RNA
Source: RNAcentral